This 667-nucleotide ribosomal RNA is filed under the name uncultured archaeon. RNAcentral describes it as "bacterial SSU rRNA". It matches the Rfam family "Archaeal small subunit ribosomal RNA", at positions 187 to 859 of the family's 1478-position model. The record is from RNAcentral.
UUUUCGACGUCGCCUAAGGAUGGGGCCGCGCCCGAUCAGGUUGUUGGUGGGGUAACGGCUCACCAAGCCUAUAACCGGUACGGGCCGUGAGAGCGGGAGCCCGGAGAUGGGCACUGAGAUAAGGGCCCAGGCCCUACGGGGCGCAGCAGUCGCGCAAACUCUGCAAUGCACGAAAGUGUGACAGGGCUAUCCCGAGUGCCGUCCGCUGAGGACGGCUUUUCCACGCUGUAAGGAGGCGUGGGAAUAAGGAGAGGGCAAGACUGGUGUCAGCCGCCGCGGUAAUACCAGCUCUCCGAGUGGUGGGGAUGCUUAUUGGGCCUAAAGCAUUCGUAGCCGGUUCGGCAAGUCCCCCGUUAAAUCCAGCAAUUCAAUUGUUGGACUGCGGGGGAUACUGCUGGGCUAGGGGGCGGGAGAGGCCGACGGUAUCCUCGGGGUAGGGGUGAAAUCCUAUAAUCCCGGGUAGACCACCAGUGGCGAAGGCUGUCGGCUAGAACGCGCCCGACGGUGAGGGAUGAAAGCUGGGGGAGCGAACCGGAUUAGAUACCCGGGUAGUCCCAGCUGUAAACUAUGCAGGCUAGGUGUUGGGGCGGCUACGAGCCGCUUCGGUGCCGCAGGGGAACUGUUAAGCCUGCCGCCUGGGGAGUACGGCCGCAAGGCUGAAACUUAA